Molecule: ribosomal RNA, 265 nt
Filed under: Globigerina falconensis
Lineage: Eukaryota; Foraminifera; Rotaliida; Globigerinidae
Description: partial small subunit ribosomal RNA
Rfam family: Eukaryotic small subunit ribosomal RNA
Source: RNAcentral
ACAAGAGCGUGGAGCAUGUGGCUUAAUUUGACUCAACGCGGAAAAACUUACCAGGUCCGGACACACUGAGGAUUGACAGACGGUUAACGCCCUUCGGGGCAAGAGACAAAAUUUUUGGCUCUUUCAUGAUUAUGUGAUAGGUGGUGCAUGGCCGUUCUUAGUUCGUGGAGUGAUCUGUCUGCCCAAUCGCGUUUCAUAAAUCUUAAGCUCAAAAGGCAGUCUUACCUUCGGGUUGAGUUUUGCUGGGAGACUUUUGUGUGAACGC